Molecule: ribosomal RNA, 305 nt
Filed under: uncultured bacterium
Lineage: Bacteria
Description: bacterial SSU rRNA
Rfam family: Bacterial small subunit ribosomal RNA
Source: RNAcentral
UUACCUACGGGGGCAGCAGUGGGGAAUAUUGCACAAUGGGGGGAACCCUGAUACAGCGACGCCGCGUGAGUGAAGAAGUAUUUCGGUAUGUAAAGCUCUGUCAGCAGGGAAGAAGAAAGACGGUACCUGACCAAGAAGCCCCGGCUAACUACGUGCCAGCAGCCGCGGUAAUACGUAGGUGGCGAGCGUUGUCCGGAUUUACUGGGUGUAAAGGGCGUGUAGCCGGGCCGGCAAGUCAGAUGUGAAAUCCCAAGGCUCAACCUUGGAACUGCAUUUGAAACUGUUGGUCUUGAGUAUCGGAGAGG